This is a long non-coding RNA of Stegastes partitus (bicolor damselfish), 746 nucleotides long. RefSeq lists it as uncharacterized. NCBI's taxonomy places the organism in Eukaryota, Metazoa, Chordata, Actinopteri, Pomacentridae. The record is from RefSeq and is a predicted model, not a curated record. The transcript has 3 exons.
UACCUUUGUGUUUGAGGGUGUUAACCAUUUAUGGAAUAUAUUUAAAUACCCAUUUGAAGGUUUUGGGUUCAUAAUUUUGCAGUUUCUAAUUUAAAUCAUGGCCAUUGUGAAUAGUAGAGCUAGAUGCCAUCACAGGGCUCAUCAAGUGAUCUUCUGAGGAGAUGCUGUCUUGCUUGACAUGAAAGAGAGCCUCCACUUUUAUUAACAAAUUGAUAAGUUAAAACAAUUUUUUGCACUAUUUUUCUUUGGAAAACAGCUCAAUCAAUUGUAUAUAUUUAAUAUUUCCAAAGCUAAUGUGAAAUUUUACAUUUGAAAUUAUUUUUUUAUUUUGGGAAGUGAUGGCAGCAUAGUUUUUUGUACUACAGAUAUUGUAGAAAAAAACUGCAAGGCCAUGACUUUGGUUUAAUGUGCCCUGAGAUGACAUAUGUUGUGAUUUAGUGCUAAAUAAAAUUGAAUUCAUACUGACUACUGCCCAGUCAUAACUACAUAUAACUUGCUGCAUGUUCCAGUUUUGCUAAAGCUGCAUUUUUUUUUUAUUUACAUUACAUGUUUCAUCAAUUCAUUUGAACAUGUUUAAAAUUUACAGUUUUGUUUUCAGCAGCGGCGGAAACUCGUCCUGAAUAAUGUCCUGGACAUCACAUUCCUUUUGCUAUUUACAUGAUUUUCUUUGGAUUCCAGUGUGUAGUAAACAUGCUAGGUAACUGAAGAACAAACACAUGAAACAUUUUGUGUCCAUCACAUGGGAA